Molecule: transfer RNA, 72 nt
Filed under: Danionella translucida
Lineage: Eukaryota; Metazoa; Chordata; Actinopteri; Cypriniformes; Danionidae
Also listed under: 1 other name
Rfam family: tRNA
About the family: Transfer RNA (tRNA) molecules are approximately 80 nucleotides in length. Their secondary structure includes four short double-helical elements and three loops (D, anti-codon, and T loops).
Source: Rfam by way of RNAcentral
GGCUCGUUGGUCUAGGGGUUUUAUUCUCGCUUUGGGUGCGAGAGGUCCCGGGUUCAAAUCCCGGACGAGCCC